Molecule: long non-coding RNA, 238 nt
Organism: Hyaena hyaena (striped hyena)
Lineage: Eukaryota; Metazoa; Chordata; Mammalia; Carnivora; Hyaenidae
Exons: 3
Source: RefSeq, a predicted model, not a curated record
GGUAACUGUAGUACAGGGAAGACAGCAGGUUUGAAUUCAGUUCAGCAGGCUGGCUCCCCACUGGAACUGAGCUCUCACGACUCUUCUCUUAUCAUGAAAAUGGAAGUGUUGGACUACAGUUGGGACCUUUGGAACAGAGAUGAGGAAAUGGAGAUCCAGAAGGGACAAGUCACAUCCUAACAUGACAAGACUGGGGAAUACUGGCAGGAGAAGUCAAACUCAGCAGAGGUCUGAUGAU